Non-coding RNA from Rattus norvegicus (Norway rat), 69 nucleotides. NCBI's taxonomy places the organism in Eukaryota, Metazoa, Chordata, Mammalia, Rodentia, Muridae. The record is from Rfam.
GGGGAUUUAGCUCAGCGGUAGAGCGCUUGCCUAGCGAGCAUAAGGCCCUGGGUUCGGUCCCCAGCUCCG